UUUUGUCUUUCCUCCGGCAACAAUGUCAAUGUCCCGCAAGAAAGAGUUUGAUGUGAAACAGAUCCUGAGGCUUCGCUGGAGAUGGCUUAGUCAUCCUUCCCAAGGAUCGCCUAACACUGGAAACUGCCUUCAGCUGGAAGGAUAUGAGCAUAGGGGGACCCUGCCCGGUUUAGGGCAGGUUGAAGAACCGCUCACGGGACAGAAACGGACUGAAGAAAGGCAAUAGUCCUGUCCACCACAAUAUACUGACGCCAGUGCCAGGACCAGCCCCUACCCAUCAAAGAGUCCUCCAGAACUGGCACCAACAAAACGUGAUAGUACUUCUUCAAGCAAAUGAAGAUACUCCUAAAGCGGUUCCAGUGGAGAAUUUGCUCAGAGAAGCUUGUGAGAAGCGCUCACGAGAUUUGGAGAUGAUGGGUGAUGACAAUAUAGAAGAUUCUAGAGCACGAUGUGUCUUUUUGCCUUCAUCCAUAGUGUACAUGAAAGAGUGCAGUAAGGCAACUCCUGAAAUGGAUACUUCAUGGUUGAGGGAAAAAUGUUUUAUUGUGGAUAAGCGAGAGAAAAUUUCCAGAGCAUUUGGAGGAGUUCAAAGAAGAGAGAAAGAGAAGUUGACUGGACAUGACCAGGGCUAUCUGUGAGAGAGAAAAUGUCACUCUUGAAUCUAAUGAGAAUUUGUUUCAAUGAACAAGAUGCUGCAGAUGUGUAUGUACACUGGAGCAAAUUACUCAAUCACUUGUGCUUUAUUUUAUCACAUAUAAAAGAUAGAUUUAUCAGAUCCUAUCCAAUACAAUUUGUAUGAGGACAAUUAUGUAAUUUUUUCAAAUUAUUAUAUUUAUUUUCCAGCUGUUUCACUUGAAUUUCUCUGCAACAAUUACAUUGCUUGCCAAAAAUAAAUGUUUUCCUCAUUUCUCAUGCUUAUUCAUUUUAUUUCUGUUACAUACUUCACACAAAUGCUGUAAUUUCCAAAAUAUUUAAAACUGAAUUAUAGCCAUGUAUGUUCACAUAUAUACCUGCAUCUUUUUUUUCUUGAAAGAGGAUUCUAAUGAAGCAUGAACAUAGCUGGGACAGUUGUAUUUUGUUGUAUAGAAUAGUUAUCUUCUACUACCAAUUCACUCUGAUGCUUUUUCCAGAAAUUGAUAGUUUAUUUUAAAAAAUAUUACAGCAUUUACAUUACAUAAAUCCUUAUCAUAAUAGAUUCACUGAUAUUGUAUAAUAUUCAUAUUUUAGAACAAAUUGUGCUUUAUCAUGUAUAUAAUUAUUUUAAUAACUAAUAAAUUUCAUUAAUCACAUUUAGUGCUGUUGUAUGAACUUACAUGAGUCAAUUUGGCUUUCAGAUUUCAUCAGAUAGCUUUGUCAAGUUUGUUGUCAAGGAUAUCUUUUAAAAUGUAAUAGAUAUUUUUAUUCUUUAUGCUAUGAAAUGAAUUAAAUGGUAUCAUGAAAUAAGUAAUUUUUUUUGUAAAUUUUGUUAUAAGGUCUUUAGAAUCUGGCAU
This is a long non-coding RNA of Onychomys torridus (southern grasshopper mouse), 1490 nucleotides long. RefSeq lists it as uncharacterized. The transcript has 4 exons. Lineage: Eukaryota; Metazoa; Chordata; Mammalia; Rodentia; Cricetidae. The record is from RefSeq and is a predicted model, not a curated record.